Molecule: ribosomal RNA, 70 nt
Filed under: Clostridium beijerinckii
Lineage: Bacteria; Bacillati; Bacillota; Clostridia; Eubacteriales; Clostridiaceae
Description: partial 23S ribosomal RNA
Source: RNAcentral
AGGUCAGAGGUGUAAGUGUGGUAACAUAUUUAGCUGACUGAUACUAAUAGGUCGAGGGCUUGACCAAUAA